ACGUUCCCGGGUCUUGUACACACCGCCCGUCACACCACGAGAGUUUACAACACCCGAAGUCGGUGGGGUAACCCGCAAGGGGGCCAGCCGCCGAAGGUGGGGUAGAUGAUUGGGGUGAAGUCGUAACAAGGUAGCCGUAUCGGAAGGUGCGGCUGGAUCACCUCCUUUCUAUGGAGA
This 177-nucleotide ribosomal RNA is filed under the name Paenibacillus helianthi. RNAcentral's name for it is "Paenibacillus sp. P26E partial 16S ribosomal RNA". It matches the Rfam family "Bacterial small subunit ribosomal RNA", at positions 1368 to 1533 of the family's 1533-position model. Lineage: Bacteria; Bacillati; Bacillota; Bacilli; Caryophanales; Paenibacillaceae. The record is from RNAcentral.